CCCUAGGUGCAGUUAUCAUAUGAUUCAGUUCUUCUAUCAUGAGUCCCAACUUAAUGGAGAUCAUGAAAAACUUGUCAGACUUCAUCAUCAGUCAUAUACUAAAUUGGCUUGACUUGAGUUCAUUUGUGAAUCCUGUGGAAACUCCUUUCUAGUAUUCACCCUUGCUUUGGCCAAAAACUUUUUGAACUCAGUCUCGCAAAUCGCAUAGGACUUCUCCUUUCCUACCAA
Molecule: long non-coding RNA, 228 nt
Filed under: Elaeis guineensis (African oil palm)
Lineage: Eukaryota; Viridiplantae; Streptophyta; Magnoliopsida; Arecales; Arecaceae
Description: long non-coding RNA (EGUI_LNC057278)
Source: RNAcentral